RNAcentral lists this ribosomal RNA (478 nucleotides) under uncultured bacterium. RNAcentral's name for it is "partial 16S ribosomal RNA". It matches the Rfam family "Bacterial small subunit ribosomal RNA", at positions 28 to 523 of the family's 1533-position model. The record is from RNAcentral.
GACGAACGCUGGCGGCGUGCUUAACACAUGCAAGUCGAACGGUAAGGCCCUUCGGGGUACACGAGUGGCGAACGGGUGAGUAACACGUGGGUGAUCUGCCCCGCACUUCGGGAUAAGCCUGGGAAACUGGGUCUAAUACCGGAUAGGACCACUGCCUGCAUGGGUGGUGGUGGAAAGCUUUUGCGGUGUGGGAUGGGCCCGCGGCCUAUCAGCUUGGUGGUGGGGUGAUGGCCUACCAAGGCGACCACGGGUAGCCGGCCUGAGAGGGUGACCGGCCACACUGGGACUGAGAUACGGCCCAGACUCCUACGGGAGGCAGCAGUGGGGAAUAUUGCACAAUGGGCGCAAGCCUGAUGCAGCGACGCCGCGUGGGGGAUGACGGCCUUCGGGUUGUAAACCUCUUUCAGCACCGACGAAGCGCAAGUGACGGUAGGUGCAGAAGAAGGACCGGCCAACUACGUGCCAGCCGCCGCCGUAA